Molecule: long non-coding RNA, 875 nt
Organism: Herpailurus yagouaroundi (jaguarundi)
Lineage: Eukaryota; Metazoa; Chordata; Mammalia; Carnivora; Felidae
Exons: 6
Source: RefSeq, a predicted model, not a curated record
GGAUCAUGACCUGAGCUGAAGCCGGACGCUCAACCAACUGAGCCACCCAGCACAACACAGAACAGAAGUAGUGAUAUCAGGAAACCUUUAAUUGCUCUUUUCAGAGGAAAAGCUUCCAACAUUCAACAUUGAGCAAACGAUUUCUUUGCUUAUCGUCCAUCUUCUCGACCUGGAAUGUAAAGCUGCAUAAGUUCCCAGCACCUAGGACAGGACCUGGCACCAAAAAGAUGGCACCCCGCCAGUCUGCUCUACUUUGACUCCUAGUACUCUGACCCUAAAGGAGCAUCUCCAACAUACGUCAGUAAAAUUGCUUUGGUUUACUGUUGCCUGGAGGAACCAAGGACUUGCAGAGUACACAAGGCUUUUCCUGCAGAAGAGAAAAAUACAAAUGCCACUUCCCAGCAUAACUCACAGAGCGUGGUGUCAGAGAAAAGAGAAAAUUGAGAAAAUACUUGGACUUCAAAGAGUUUAGGGGAGGAAUGGUUUCCCCUCUCCCAGACAUGUGUUUUCCACAUCUGAUAGUGUAACAUUCCUGGCUGCCUUCCACCAUUCAUUCGCUCCACUUUGGGGAAGAGGAGUGACUUACCUGCUGAUUUUGGAAGAGUGACGGGGCCUCUGCAGCCCUGCCCCCACCACUCUGCCUCUUGGAAAUGGCCACCAGCAGGUGGGGAGAGUCUGUGCUCCGAACAGCUCGGGGCCUUAAAGUGAGCCCUAGUGAGACAGGCCCUACUCCACAUCUGGAAGCCUGGGUACCUAAUCUUUCAGAUUCCGUGAUUCAGUAGCAGGAGACCUAGGGUCUGCAAAUAGAAGCCACUUUCCCCGGCACCAGCUUUAACUGUGAUAAAGGUGAUGCUCACUAUCAUCUACCUUAUUUA